UUAUCGGAGAGUUUGAUCCUGGCUCAGGACGAACGCUGGCGGCGUGCCUAAUACAUGCAAGUCGAGCUGAUUGAUGGGAGCUUGCUCCCAUCAAUCAGCGGCGGACGGGUGAGUAACACGUGGGUAACCUGCCUGUAAGACUGGGAUAACUCCGGGAAACCGGGGCUAAUACCGGAUAACUCAUUUCCUCGCAUGAGGAAAUGUUGAAAGGUGGCUUUUAGCUAUCACUUACAGAUGGACCCGCGGCGCAUUAGCUAGUUGGUGAGGUAACGGCUCACCAAGGCGACGAUGCGUAGCCGACCUGAGAGGGUGAUCGGCCACACUGGGACUGAGACACGGCCCAGACU
This 347-nucleotide ribosomal RNA is filed under the name Rossellomorea aquimaris. Its description in RNAcentral is "bacterial SSU rRNA". It matches the Rfam family "Bacterial small subunit ribosomal RNA", at positions 1 to 337 of the family's 1533-position model. The record is from RNAcentral. Lineage: Bacteria; Bacillati; Bacillota; Bacilli; Caryophanales; Bacillaceae.